CUGCUAGUAAAUGUGGAAAUAUGUUACAUCUAAUUUUAUUAAAAGGAACCAAAAUUUUCUACCCUAUGAAUACUGCAAAAAAAGGAACUUCUUUGUUAGGAACCAUUUAUUUUGUUAUUUAUUUUUAUGUGGUGCUGAGGAUCAAACCCAGUGCCUUACAGGUAUGAGGCAAGUGCUCUACCACUGAGCCAGAACCCCAGUCAGAGGAACCAUUUAUAUGUGGCCCACCUAGAUGAUUUUCAAGCUCAUCUUCCAAACCAGAAUUUCACUGCCAGUUCUGUAUUUGUGGAAUUGGGGUAAUGAAUAUACGUAUUGAAUAAGUUUCCUUGAAACCAUGCAUUUCCUCUUAAUAAUAGGAUUAGUGAUUGGGUUGAAAAGGCAGAGUCAAAAUGACUUCUUCCACUUACAGUGUGAUCCACACACCCACAGCAUCAGUAUUAUCUGGGUGUUUGUCAGAAAUGCAAAACCCUGGGCCUACCUCAGGCCUACUGAACCAGCCUGUUAACAAGUUGAUAACAAGUACCCCAGGUGAUUCCUAUGCACAUUAAAAUUUGAGAAACACUGAGUUAAGCAAUUACAUACAUCAAGGAAACUCUGGAAAGAUUCUCCUAUUCUCCAAAUUCUACUCCUCUUAUGUGACACAGUGAUCAAAAUGUAAUCAUUAACUGUCCUUUGGAUUACUCUUACAAUAUCUCUUUAAAGAGUUAUGAGGCUGUCUCUCCCUCUUGAGAUUACCUCCAUUCUCUCUUGAAUACAUAUCUACAUUCCUAUAUAAACUUCUGCCUAUGCCUUUCAAAAACAACAAAAAGGAAUAGCAGUAAUGGAUUGGGAUGUGCCUCAGUGGUAAAGCAAUUGCCUUGCAUACACGAAACCCUGGGUUCUAUCCCCAGUUCCAAUAAAAAAGACAAAGUAACAACAAAGAAUAACAGUAAUUAUAAUAUAAUUUUAAGGAUGUGUAGUCUUUUUUUGCUGUUUUCAAAGCAUUUUUUAAAAUCUUUAUUUUGUUUAUUCAUUUUUAUGUGGUGCUGAGGAUCAAACCCAGUGCCUCACAUGUGCUAGGCAAGCACUCUACCACUGAGCCACAUCCUCAGCCCUCAAAGCAUUUUUAUACCUAUGAUCUCACUUGAUUCCUUUAUCAUGGGUAACCCACUAAUCCAAUGUACUCUAAUCAUCCUACCAAUAAGUAUGAAGUUAGGUCAAUAAUGUAUUGCUUUAUCCCUAAAUGUCAUUUUAAAAGCCAAGAAAUAGGUAGAAAUCUGAAUAAAUUAUGAAUACAAAAUAGACAUAAGAUGUAAUAGUUACAAUAUAAAAUAUAGUGAGGAUAUAUUUCUAAAACAAUAUACAAUAGCCACAGAAUCUCAG
Molecule: long non-coding RNA, 1362 nt
Filed under: Marmota monax (woodchuck)
Lineage: Eukaryota; Metazoa; Chordata; Mammalia; Rodentia; Sciuridae
Source: RNAcentral